CUACGGGGGGCUGCAGUGAGGAAUUUUGCGCAAUGGGGGAAACCCUGACGCAGCAACGCCGCGUGAGCGAAGAAGGCCUUCGGGUCGUAAAGCUCUGUCAAGUGGGAAAAAAGCCUUUUGAUUAAUACCCAAAAGGUUUGAUGGUACCACUGGAGGAAGCACCGGCUAACUCCGUGCCAGCAGCCGCGGUAAUACGGAGGGUGCAAGCGUUGUUCGGAUUUACUGGGCGUAAAGGGCGUGCAGGCGGUUUGGCAAGUCAGAUGUGAAAGCCCUGGGCUUAACCCGGGAAGUGUAUUUGAACUGCCUUUCUUGAGUAUGGGAGAGGAGAGUGGAAUUCCCAGUGUAGAGGUGAAAUUCGUAGAUAUUGGGAGGAACACCCGUGGCGAAGGCGACUCUCUGGACCAAUACUGACGCUGAGACGCGAAAGCGUGGGGAGCAAACAGGAUUAGAUACCCGCGUAGUC
RNAcentral lists this ribosomal RNA (463 nucleotides) under uncultured bacterium. RNAcentral's name for it is "partial 16S ribosomal RNA". It matches the Rfam family "Bacterial small subunit ribosomal RNA", at positions 339 to 795 of the family's 1533-position model. The record is from RNAcentral.